AACGCAUCUUGCGCUUUGGGGUUAUUCCCGAAAGCAUGCUUGUUGGAGCAACUGUACAUUCUCAACCCCGCUUAUCUUCUUAAUUCGGAUAGGUUGUUUUAGGGUUAUGGAUCAUGAUGCUUUGUUGAUUGACGUCAACUGCAUUGAGAUACAGUCAAGCUGAACUUCGACCAGAUAUUUGCAGGCUUCGGCUAACUAUUGUUGUAAAAACUUCGGUCAAUAGUGUUGCAAUAUCUAUCUUUACAGAAAAGUACGCUUGUAAAAAACAUUUGUGACUUUGAGUCUUUAACCAGACUUGAAUUUCAUUUUGAUGACUUGUUCUCCAAUCAAGUAGGACUACCCGCUGAACUUAA
Molecule: unclassified non-coding RNA, 353 nt
Filed under: uncultured fungus
Lineage: Eukaryota; Fungi
Description: partial contains 5.8S ribosomal RNA, internal transcribed spacer 2, and large subunit ribosomal RNA
Source: RNAcentral